This 253-nucleotide ribosomal RNA is filed under the name uncultured bacterium. RNAcentral describes it as "partial 16S ribosomal RNA". It matches the Rfam family "Bacterial small subunit ribosomal RNA", at positions 524 to 776 of the family's 1533-position model. The record is from RNAcentral.
UACAGAGGGUGCAAGCGUUAAUCGGAUUUACUGGGCGUAAAGCGCGCGUAGGCGGCCAAUUAAGUCAAAUGUGAAAUCCCCGGGCUUAACUUGGGAAUUGCAUUCGAUACUGGUUGGCUAGAGUGUGGGAGAGGAUGGUGGAAUUCCAGGUGUAGCGGUGAAACGCGUAGAGAUCUGGAGGAAUACCGAUGGCGAAGGCGGCCAUCUGGCCUAACACUGACGCUGAGGUUCGAAAGCGUGGGGAGCAAACAGG